CCUACGGGAGGCAGCAGUGAGGAAUAUUGGACAAUGGGCGCAAGCCUGAUCCAGCCAUGCCGCGUGCAGGAAGAAGCAUCUAUGGUGUGUAAACUGCUUUUGUACAGGAAGAAACACUCCCUCGUGAGGGAGCUUGACGGUACUGUAAGAAUAAGGACCGGCUAACUCCGUGCCAGCAGCCGCGGUAAUACGGAGGGUCCGAGCGUUAUCCGGAAUCAUUGGGUUUAAAGGGUCCGUAGGCGGUUUAAUAAGUCAGUGGUGAAAUCUGGUCGCUCAACGAUCAAACGGCCAUUGAUACUGUUAGACUUGAAUUAUAAGGAAGUAACUAGAAUAUGUAGUGUAGCGGUGAAAUGCUUAGAUAUUACAUGGAAUACCAAUUGCGAAGGCAGGUUACUACUUAUGGAUUGACGCUGAUGGACGAAAGCGUGGGGAGCGAACAGGAUUAGAUACCCUGGUAGUCCACGCCGUAAACGAUGGAUACUAGCUGUUCGGAGCAAUCUGAGUGGCUAAGCGAAAGUGAUAAGUAUCCACCUGGGAGUCGUUCGCAAGAAUUGAAACUUCAAAGGAAUUGAGGCNGAGAGNGCGACGACGACGACGAGGAGGAGG
Molecule: ribosomal RNA, 606 nt
Filed under: uncultured bacterium
Lineage: Bacteria
Description: bacterial SSU rRNA
Rfam family: Bacterial small subunit ribosomal RNA
Source: RNAcentral